Non-coding RNA from Podarcis lilfordi (Lilford's wall lizard), 70 nucleotides. The record is from the annotation of a GenBank genome assembly. NCBI's taxonomy places the organism in Eukaryota, Metazoa, Chordata, Lepidosauria, Squamata, Lacertidae.
GAUAGUUCAGUUGGUAGAACUGUAGAGACUCUUAAUCUCAGGGUUGUGGGUUAGAGUCCCACGUUGGGCA